This 465-nucleotide ribosomal RNA is filed under the name uncultured bacterium. Its description in RNAcentral is "bacterial SSU rRNA". It matches the Rfam family "Bacterial small subunit ribosomal RNA", at positions 338 to 795 of the family's 1533-position model. The record is from RNAcentral.
CCUACGGGGGGCUGCAGUAGGGAAUAUUGCGCAAUGGGCGAAAGCCUGACGCAGCGACACCGUGUGUAGGAUGAAGAUCUUCGGAUUGUAAACUACUGUCAGUUGAAGACGAAGGCAGUAGAGUUAAGAGCUCGAAUGCUGACGGUAUUCAAUUAGGAAGUCUCGGCUAACUCCGUGCCAGCAGCCGCGGUAAGACGGAGGAGGCAAGCAUUGUCCGGAAUUAUUGGGCGUAAAGAACACGUAGGCGGUUUGCCAAGUCAUAUGUGAAAACCUUGGGCUUAACUUAAGGAUUGCAUAUGAUACUGGUAAACUAGAGUAUAGUAGAGGAAAGCGGAAUUCCUGGUGUAGCGGUGAAAUGCGCAGAUAUCAGGAAGAACACCAGUGGCGAAAGCGGCUUUCUGGACUGUUACUGACGCUGAGGUGUGAAAGCUAGGGGAGCGAACAGGAUUAGAUACCCUAGUAGUC